RNAcentral lists this small nuclear RNA (23 nucleotides) under Arabidopsis thaliana (thale cress). RNAcentral's name for it is "snRNA_12939". Lineage: Eukaryota; Viridiplantae; Streptophyta; Magnoliopsida; Brassicales; Brassicaceae. The record is from RNAcentral.
UAAAUCGUCGAGGGUGAAGAGUA